RNAcentral lists this transfer RNA (77 nucleotides) under Lentisphaerota bacterium. RNAcentral's name for it is "Lentisphaerae bacterium (sediment metagenome) tRNA-His". It matches the Rfam family "tRNA". Rfam says of the family: Transfer RNA (tRNA) molecules are approximately 80 nucleotides in length. Their secondary structure includes four short double-helical elements and three loops (D, anti-codon, and T loops). Lineage: Bacteria; Pseudomonadati; Lentisphaerota. The record is from RNAcentral.
GCGAGCGUAGCUCAGUUGGUUAGAGCAUCAGAUUGUGGAUCUGAUGGUCGCGGGUUCGAGCCCCGUCGCUCGCCCCA